GCUGGUGGCUGAUGGGGAAGGAGCGGCGCGGCUCCGCGGUGGGGCUGGGGCGCGCCGUGCUCCCCCCCUCACCGCUCUCCCCCCGCCGCUCUGCCGGAUCCUGGGGGAGGCGCCGAGGGGCGGGGAGCGGCGCUUACAGCCGGAGCCGCCCGGGGAAGGGGCGCGCAGCCAGGAGGGAGGGAAAGGGUAUUUAUCUUACCCGUGUCGUUUGGAGGAGCUGCAGUGGGUGCAGCUCAGUGUGAAUUCUGUGGGACUGAGUGAGCUGGCAGAGAUGGAGCUGGAUCCAGUGUAAGGCGUGAACAAAGGUGAUCCCUAGGUUGAAGUUUCACCAAGGAGGUCUCGGUCUGGAAUGUGGUUUAAUGGCACAGGUGAAGAUCUUGGAAAAGUGGAGCAUCUAUAGGUGUAUGGUAACCAUUGAGUCCUGGCCUGAAGCACCGAUUGAGCAGCUUGGGAAAGGACUGGUCAGCCCUGGAGCACAGGUGAAGGCAAUUCAACUGUGAGACAGGAAGGGGUGGAGCCUGGCUGCACCUCUCUUAGGCCUCAUUUAAGGACUGACUGCCACUGGGCCAGGAUCUCUGGUUGGGGAUCCCUCCCUUACAGAGUCUGUCUUGUGAGCCUAGAUCCUCAGAGAUGGAUGUCACUGAUUGGAAAUGCUGUGUGCUGACAAACCUAUGGAAUCCUGUCUUGUCAGAGUCCCUAUGGAGCUGGGCAGCAGUGCUGGGCUGAGCUCAGCUCACCAUGGUGGGAAGUGGUCGUGGGGAGCCGUGGUCAGUGUCCUGCUGGAAGAUGAAGAUACCCUGUUCUUAUCUGUACCUUCUGGUUUUUUACGUUUGAGUACAGAGAAGUUGAUGCUUGUUCUUUCUGCAGUGGAAGUGGCAGCAGUGAUAAGUUGGAGGUAAUUCUCAAUGAGGAUCUGAGUCUGGCUGGUCAAUGUGUCAGUGCCAAACUAUCUGAUAGGCAUGAGGAAACUGCGUGGCUUUGGGCUGGGAACACAACUGGAAAAGAUGCUGAGGCUGUCCAGAAGUCCAUGGUGGGAUGUAAGGUAGCGUAGGUAGGAGGAGGAAAUUUUAUCCUUUUUCAACCUCCACUUUUGGGAACCUGAGCAAAAGUGAAGCACCUGUGUACGUGAUAGCAUCCAUUACCAAGGUAACGCUGGUUGUUCUUCUCUGGACUUGUUCCUUGCUAGCAAGAAUAAUUAGAUACUUACUCAUUUUUCUUAACUAUCUCAUCCUGGGUCUCAUUCACAAUGUGAGGGAUCCCAGUUUAAUCGCUGAAUCUUGAAUUUUAGAGACAACAUAAACAAAUGCAACUGCAUCAGAUGCUUUGAAGAAUCUGCAGGCUGAAAUGUGUCCUUCCCAUCCACACAACUCAGUGCUGAGGCAGCUGAGGAGCAUGCUCUGCCAAUACCAGGCCAAGCAAAACCUCACCAGGAUUCUCAGACUGAUAAAACCAAUACUGGAGGAAAUGGAGAAAAAUCUGAAUAGAAUUUCUUAUUAUUAACUGCUAUCAGUACUGAGUGCAGUAUUACUGUUCUAGGCCUUCGAAAAUGACAUGUUAUUUUCCUUUCCUUUUAAAUAUGACAAAAGCAAGCCUCAGACUAAGUAGCAGAUAUUAAAUAUUGAAUAUUCCAAAAGGAUUUUUCAUCUGUUAAACAUAAAGACUUCUCUCCAAAAAGAAGCAGGCUGGUUAGGCCAUAUAUGUUUGCUUUUCUCCAUGCAGGAUGCGUUUUCCCACUUCAGCUUAAGCUGGAUAAACAGUUGAGUAAAUGGAAGCACUUUCUCUUAACAGAAAUGCUAUUACUAAAAACAGUCAGUGAUUUAAUCAAUUGAGUUUCACAGUAUUCACAGUUCACCCUCUUGUGUGCUAGAGUUCAGCACUGUACAAACAGGAUCAGAAAUUCUUUGCUUACCUAGCAGCAAACUGGCUGCUUAGUCAGACACACUGCUGAGCGUUCAGUGCUGGAAUAAAGUUUUGAUAAUCGA
Tympanuchus pallidicinctus (lesser prairie-chicken) is the source of this 1982-nucleotide long non-coding RNA. RefSeq lists it as uncharacterized. Lineage: Eukaryota; Metazoa; Chordata; Aves; Galliformes; Phasianidae. The transcript is spliced from 6 exons. The record is from RefSeq and is a predicted model, not a curated record.